GCAUAUCAAUAAGCGGAGGAAAAGAAACCAACAGGGAUUGCCCUAGUAACGGCGAGUGAAGCGGCAACAGCUCAAAUUUGAAAUCUGGCUUCGGCCCGAGUUGUAAUUUGCAGAGGAAGCUUUAGGCGCGGCACCUUCUGAGUCCCCUGGAACGGGGCGCCAUAGAGGGUGAGAGCCCCGUAUAGUUGGAUGCCUAGCCUGUGUAAAGCUCCUUCGACGAGUCGAGUAGUUUGGGAAUGCUGCUCAAAAUGGGAGGUAAAUUUCUUCUAAAGCUAAAUACCGGCCAGAGACCGAUAGCGCACAAGUAGAGUGAUCGAAAGAUGAAAAGCACUUUGAAAAGAGGGUUAAAUAGCACGUGAAAUUGUUGAAAGGGAAGCGCUUGUGACCAGACUUGCGCCGGGCGGAUCAUCCGGUGUUCUCACCGGUGCACUCCGCCCGGCUCAGGCCAGCAUCGGUUCUCGCGGGGGGAUAAAGGCCCUGGGAACGUAGCUCCUCCGGGAGUGUUAUAGCCCGGGGCGUAAUGCCCUCGCGGGGACCGAGGUUCGCGCAUCUGCAAGGAUG
Molecule: ribosomal RNA, 561 nt
Filed under: Chaetomium coarctatum
Lineage: Eukaryota; Fungi; Ascomycota; Sordariomycetes; Sordariales; Chaetomiaceae
Description: eukaryotic LSU rRNA
Rfam family: Eukaryotic large subunit ribosomal RNA
Source: RNAcentral